AGCGAACGCUGGCGGCAGGCCUAACACAUGCAAGUCGAACGAACUCUUCGGAGUUAGUGGCGGACGGGUGAGCAACACGUGGGAACGUGCCUUUAGGUUCGGAAUAACUCAGGGAAACUUGUGCUAAUACCGAAUGUGCCCUUCGGGGGAAAGAUUUAUCGCCUUUAGAGCGGCCCGCGUCUGAUUAGCUAGUUGGUGAGGUAAAGGCUCACCAAGGCGACGAUCAGUAGCUGGUCUGAGAGGAUGAUCAGCCACAUUGGGACUGAGACACGGCCCAAACUCCUACGGGAAGCAGCAGUGGGGAAUCUUGCGCAAUGGGCGAAAGCCUGACGCAGCCAUGCCGCGUGAAUGAUGAAGGUCUUAGGAUUGUAAAAUUCUUUCACCGGGGACGAUAAUGACGGUACCCGGAGAAGAAGCCCCGGCUAACUUCGUG
This 433-nucleotide ribosomal RNA is filed under the name uncultured bacterium. RNAcentral's name for it is "partial 16S ribosomal RNA". It matches the Rfam family "Bacterial small subunit ribosomal RNA", at positions 29 to 507 of the family's 1533-position model. The record is from RNAcentral.